CCAAAAGCUGGCGACCGGCGCACGGGUGAGUAACACGUAUCCAACCUGCCUCAUACUCGGGGAUAGCCUUUCGAAAGAAAGAUUAAUAUCCGAUAGCAUAUAUUUCCCGCAUGGGUUUUAUAUUAAAGAAAUUCGGUAUGAGAUGGGGAUGCGUUCCAUUAGGUUGUUGGCGGGGUAACGGCCCACCAAGCCUUCGAUGGAUAGGGGUUCUGAGAGGAAGGUCCCCCACAUUGGAACUGAGACACGGUCCAA
RNAcentral lists this ribosomal RNA (252 nucleotides) under uncultured bacterium. Its description in RNAcentral is "partial 16S ribosomal RNA". It matches the Rfam family "Bacterial small subunit ribosomal RNA", at positions 80 to 334 of the family's 1533-position model. The record is from RNAcentral.